RNAcentral lists this ribosomal RNA (252 nucleotides) under uncultured bacterium. RNAcentral's name for it is "partial 16S ribosomal RNA". It matches the Rfam family "Bacterial small subunit ribosomal RNA", at positions 524 to 775 of the family's 1533-position model. The record is from RNAcentral.
UACGGAGGGUGCGAGCGUUGUCCGGAAUCAUUGGGCGUAAAGGGCGCGUAGGUGGCGGGACAAGCGUGCGGUGAAAGCUCGGGGCUCAACCCCGCGUCGGCCGUGCGAACUGUUUUGCUUGAGCACUGUAGAGGCAGGCGGAAUUCCGGGUGUAGCGGUGGAAUGCGUAGAGAUCCGGAAGAACACCGGUGGCGAAGGCGGCCUGCUGGGCAGUAGCUGACACUGAGGCGCGACAGCGUGGGGAGCAACAGG